RNAcentral lists this ribosomal RNA (253 nucleotides) under uncultured bacterium. RNAcentral's name for it is "partial 16S ribosomal RNA". It matches the Rfam family "Bacterial small subunit ribosomal RNA", at positions 524 to 776 of the family's 1533-position model. The record is from RNAcentral.
UACGAAGGGGGCUAGCGUUGCUCGGAAUCACUGGGCGUAAAGCGCACGUAGGCGGAUUUUUAAGUCAGGGGUGAAAUCCUGGAGCUCAACUCCAGAACUGCCUUCGAUACUGGGAGUCUCGAGUCCGGGAGAGGUGAGUGGAACUGCGAGUGUAGAGGUGAAAUUCGUAGAUAUUCGCAAGAACACCAGUGGCGAAGGCGGCUCACUGGCCCGGUACUGACGCUGAGGUGCGAAAGCGUGGGGAGCAAACAGG